AGGUGGAGAAGCAAAGCCAGAAUGGUUUUACAGGGAUCUGCUUCUCUUCCUCCACAUGCUUCCUCUAGUAACUGGGACACCUUGGGCAUAAAAAGCACCAGGAUGGAAAUACUUCAUAGGAUGUCCAUAUUUCAGUAGUGUCUCCGGAUGGGCAUCAGGAAGGGCUUCCAGCUGUCUAGGAUCCUCAGCACCAAGAAGACCAGAACAAGAGGACCUAUGGGACACCAGUGGGUUCCAUGAAGUGCUGAUAUAUUUUCUAUUUAAUCUCUCUCUGUCACUCUCUUUCUUCCCC
Long non-coding RNA from Corapipo altera (White-ruffed manakin), 292 nucleotides. RefSeq lists it as uncharacterized. The record is from RefSeq and is a predicted model, not a curated record. The transcript is spliced from 3 exons. Lineage: Eukaryota; Metazoa; Chordata; Aves; Passeriformes; Pipridae.